CCUACGGGGGGCAGCAGUCGAGAAUCAUUCACAAUGGGGGAAACCCUGAUGCAGCGACGCCGCGUGGGUGAAGAAGCGCCUCGGCGCGUAAAGCCCUGUCAGCAGGGAAGAAAAUGACGGUACCUGAAGAAGAAGCCCCGGCUAACUACGUGCCAGCAGCCGCGGUAAUACGUAGGGGGCAAGCGUUAUCCGGAUUUACUGGGUGGAAAGGGGGCGCAGACGGCGAUGCAAGCCAGGAGUGAAAGCCCGGGGCCCAACCCCGGGACUGCUCUUGGAACUGCGUGGCUGGAGUGCAGGAGGGGCAGGCGGAAUUCCUGGUGUAGCGGUGAAAUGCGUAGAUAUCAGGAGGAACACCGGUGGCGAAGGCGGCCUGCUGGACUGCAACUGACGUUGAGGCCCGAAAGCGUGGGGAGCAAACAGGAUUAGAUACCCUGGUAGUC
This 440-nucleotide ribosomal RNA is filed under the name uncultured bacterium. RNAcentral's name for it is "partial 16S ribosomal RNA". It matches the Rfam family "Bacterial small subunit ribosomal RNA", at positions 338 to 795 of the family's 1533-position model. The record is from RNAcentral.